This 228-nucleotide ribosomal RNA is filed under the name uncultured bacterium. Its description in RNAcentral is "partial 16S ribosomal RNA". It matches the Rfam family "Bacterial small subunit ribosomal RNA", at positions 15 to 236 of the family's 1533-position model. The record is from RNAcentral.
GAUCAUGGCUCAGGAUGAACGCUAGCUACAGGCUUAACACAUGCAAGUCGAGGGGCAGCAUGUUGGUUGCUUGCAACCAACGAUGGCGACCGGCGCACGGGUGAGUAACGCGUAUCCAACCUGCCCUUGUCCAUCGGAUAACCCGUCGAAAGGCGGACUAACACGAUAUGCAGUUCUCCGCAGGCAUCUAACGAGAACGAAAUGUGAAGGAGAAGGAUGGGGAUGCGU